UACGGAAGGUGCAAGCGUUGUUCGGAAUGACUGGGCGUAAAGCGCACGUAGGCGGUUUCGUAAGUCGGAUGUGAAAGCCCCGGGCUCAACCUGGGAAUAGCACCCGAAACUGUGAAACUUGAAUGCUUGAGAGGUUGGUGGAAUUCCAGGUGUAGGAGUGAAAUCCGUAGAUAUCUGGAGGAACACCGGAGGCGAAGGCGGCCAACUGGCGAUGCAUUGACGCUGAGGUGCGAAAGCGUGGGGAGCAAACAGG
RNAcentral lists this ribosomal RNA (253 nucleotides) under uncultured bacterium. RNAcentral describes it as "partial 16S ribosomal RNA". It matches the Rfam family "Bacterial small subunit ribosomal RNA", at positions 524 to 776 of the family's 1533-position model. The record is from RNAcentral.